AUCACAAAGGACACUCUAAUAAAAGAGGAAGACAUAUGGGAAACUAGCAAUGCCCAUGAUUAACUAGAACUAAUGGGGAAACAAGCCCAGAUACCCAUGGGACACAUCACCUGAAGCCAGCCCGAAAACUCCAAGGUGUUUUCAACCUAUUAGUACUGGAAUGGGUGAGCAAUAAAAUCACUAAUGAAUCUCAAAAAAGGGCCUAAGGCACGAGACUAUAGUGGAAGACAUGUACAACACAGAUGAACUACCUUUGGCAUGUGUAAUGCACAUGGAAGUCCACCUGCACAUGCGAGAACCUUAUCCGUGUGAGGCAGCACACAAAGUGUGUAGAAACUGUAGCUCGCUUGCGUAACAUGCGCCGCGUGCACAUAGGACACGCGCAGCCUCUGCUUAGCACCACGCACGCGAGCAAGCCAUGGGUAGCACGCCCAGCAACCU
RNAcentral lists this long non-coding RNA (441 nucleotides) under Carica papaya (papaya). RNAcentral describes it as "long non-coding RNA (CPAP_LNC015949)". The record is from RNAcentral. Lineage: Eukaryota; Viridiplantae; Streptophyta; Magnoliopsida; Brassicales; Caricaceae.